RNAcentral lists this ribosomal RNA (492 nucleotides) under uncultured bacterium. RNAcentral describes it as "bacterial SSU rRNA". It matches the Rfam family "Bacterial small subunit ribosomal RNA", at positions 29 to 517 of the family's 1533-position model. The record is from RNAcentral.
AUUGAACGCUGGCGGCAUGCCUUACACAUGCAAGUCGAACGGCAGCACGGGAGCAAUCCUGGUGGCGAGUGGCGAACGGGUGAGUAAUAUAUCGGAACGUGCCCAGUAGUGGGGGAUAGCCCGGCGAAAGCCGGAUUAAUACCGCAUACGACCUGAGGGUGAAAGCGGGGGAUCGCAAGACCUCGCGCUAUUGGAGCGGCCGAUAUCAGAUUAGCUAGUUGGUGGGGUAAAGGCCUACCAAGGCUACGAUCUGUAGUUGGUCUGAGAGGACGACCAGCCACACUGGGACUGAGACACGGCCCAGACUCCUACGGGAGGCAGCAGUGGGGAAUUCUGGACAAUGGGCGCAAGCCUGAUCCAGCAAUGCCGCGUGCAGGAAGAAAGCCUCGGGUUGUAAACUGCUUUGUCAGGGAGAAAUCUUCUGGGCUAAUACCCCGGGAGGAGUGACGGUACCUGAAGAAUAAGCACCGGCUAACUACGUGCCAGCAGCCG